UGCGUAGGUGGUGGGGUAAGUCGGAUGUGAAAUCUCCGAGCUCAACUCGGAAAUGGCAUUGGAAACUACCCUGCUAGAGGGUCGGAGGGGGGACUGGAAUACUUGGUGUAGCAGUGAAAUGCGUAGAUAUCAAGUGGAACACCAGUGGCGAAGGCGAGUCCCUGGACGACUCCUGACACUGAGGCACGAAAGCUAGGGGAGCAAACAGGAUUAGAUACCCUGGUAGUCCUAGCCGUAAACGGUGCACGUUUGCUGUAAAAGGAAUCGACCCCUUUUGUGGCGUAGCCAACGCGUUAAACGUGCCGCCUGGGAAGUACGGUCGCAAGAUUAAA
RNAcentral lists this ribosomal RNA (332 nucleotides) under uncultured bacterium. RNAcentral's name for it is "bacterial SSU rRNA". It matches the Rfam family "Bacterial small subunit ribosomal RNA", at positions 568 to 898 of the family's 1533-position model. The record is from RNAcentral.